CGGGGUGAGUAAUGUCUGGGAAACUGCCUGAUGGAGGGGGGUAACUACUGGAGACGGUAGCUAAUACCGCAUAACGUCGCAAGACCAAAGAGGGGGACCUUCGGGCCUCUUGCCAUCGGAUGUGCCCAGAUGGGAUUAGCUAGUAGGUGGGGUAACGGCUCACCUAGGCGACGAUCCCUAGCUGGUCUGAGAGGAUGACCAGCCACACUGGAACUGAGACACGGUCCAG
RNAcentral lists this ribosomal RNA (229 nucleotides) under uncultured bacterium. Its description in RNAcentral is "partial 16S ribosomal RNA". It matches the Rfam family "Bacterial small subunit ribosomal RNA", at positions 104 to 334 of the family's 1533-position model. The record is from RNAcentral.